Molecule: long non-coding RNA, 620 nt
Organism: Daucus carota subsp. sativus
Lineage: Eukaryota; Viridiplantae; Streptophyta; Magnoliopsida; Apiales; Apiaceae
Exons: 3
Source: RefSeq, a predicted model, not a curated record
CUCCAGAGCUGCAUAGGUGGUUCUUAGUAGCACUUGAAGAGCUUGGUGGUGCUCAUGGUGUGUCUCGAACCAAUUUAUUUUUAGUACUAUUUGUCACGCAAACUUGAACUCAGUGAUCUAAUAGUUGCUCUAGGGGAGACCACUGGGAAGCCUACUUUUGAAAGGGUUCUUGAAAUAAUGAAGAGAAGUCCCAAGGGCAGGGUGGCACCUCUGCUGUUUCAAGCAUUUUCAACUAUUCCAUACAUUUCACAAGUUUCAUUUAUCGGAACAAAUGGUUUGUUCUUAUCAUACUACAAAUGCCGUAUAUUCCAACUACUCAUUGCCUAUCAACCGAAAAAAGCUCAACAGUGUACACAUGGUACACUCAUCCAGUUGGUCGCAACACUGGAAUGCCAUACGGAGAAGCUAUGAUUACUCCUCCAAGUACUACAAAUGCAACUACAGACAGAUGAAGUGGUCUCUGUAACAAUCUGCAUCAAACCCACAAGUUUCCUCCAAAGGUUAUUUAUGUGCAAGCAAAAUUUCUUGAUACAUAUUAAUUUGAAGAUCUUAAUUUGUCCAAGUUAAAGUCAUCUCACAACGGAAUGCAAAGCGGUUGAUUGGGUUAACAAUUAUAAUUU